AUUGAACGCUGGCGGCAUGCCUUACACAUGCAAGUCGAACGGUAACAGGUCUUCGGAUGCUGACGAGUGGCGAACGGGUGAGUAAUACAUCGGAACGUGCCCGAUCGUGGGGGAUAACGAAGCGAAAGCUUUGCUAAUACCGCAUAAGAUCUACGGAUGAAAGCAGGGGACCGCAAGGCCUUGCGCGAACGGGGCGGCCGAUGGCAGAUUAGGUAGUUGGUGGGAUAAAAGCUUACCAAGCCGACGAUCUGUAGCUGGUCUGAGAGGACGACCAGCCACACUGGGACUGAGACACGGCCCAGACUCCUACGGGAGGCAGCAGUGGGGAAUUUUGGACAAUGGGCGAAAGCCUGAUCCAGCCAUGCCGCGUGCAGGAUGAAGGCCUUCGGGUUGUAAACUGCUUUUGUACGGAACGAAAAGACUCUGGUUAAUACCUGGGGUCCAUGACGGUACCGUAAGAAUAAGCACCGGCUAACUACGUG
RNAcentral lists this ribosomal RNA (482 nucleotides) under uncultured bacterium. RNAcentral describes it as "partial 16S ribosomal RNA". It matches the Rfam family "Bacterial small subunit ribosomal RNA", at positions 30 to 507 of the family's 1533-position model. The record is from RNAcentral.